Molecule: ribosomal RNA, 579 nt
Filed under: uncultured bacterium
Lineage: Bacteria
Description: bacterial SSU rRNA
Rfam family: Bacterial small subunit ribosomal RNA
Source: RNAcentral
AUUAGGUAGUUGGCGGGGCAACGGCCCACCAAGCCCACGAUAUCUAGGGGUUCUGAGAGGAAGGUCCCCCACAUUGGUACUGAGACACGGACCAAACUCCUACGGGAGGCAGCAGUGAGGAAUAUUGGUCAAUGGACGAGAGUCUGAACCAGCCAAGUCGCGUGAAGGAAGACGGAUCUAUGGUUUGUAAACUUCUUUAGUGCGGGAACAAAGCGGCGUCGUGACGCCGGAUGAGUGUACCGCAAGAAUAAGCAUCGGCUAACUCCGUGCCAGCAGCCGCGGUAAUACGGAGGAUGCGAGCGUUAUCCGGAUUUAUUGGGUUUAAAGGGAGCGCAGGCUGCGAGGCAAGUCAGCGGUCAAAUGUCGGGGCUCAACCCCGGCCUGCCGUUGAAACUGUCCUGCUAGAGUUCGAGUGAGGUAUGCGGAAUGCGUUGUGUAGCGGUGAAAUGCAUAGAUAUGACGCAGAACUCCGAUUGCGAAGGCAGCAUACCAACUCGCGACUGACGCUGAGGCUCGAAAGCGUGGGUAUCGAACAGGAUUAGAUACCCUGGUAGUCCACGCAGUAAACGAUGAAGACUA